AUAUGAAUUGCCUGGGGUUCUUACAAAAUGAUGAUUUUGAUUCUGCAUGUCUUGGAUGGGACCCAAGAGUCUGCAUUUCUAAAAAGCUCCCAGGUGGUGCCCGU
Molecule: microRNA precursor, 104 nt
Filed under: Marmota monax (woodchuck)
Lineage: Eukaryota; Metazoa; Chordata; Mammalia; Rodentia; Sciuridae
Source: RNAcentral